GGGUCCAAAUGGUGAAUGCUCAUCCUGCCU
This 30-nucleotide non-coding RNA is filed under the name Homo sapiens (human). Lineage: Eukaryota; Metazoa; Chordata; Mammalia; Primates; Hominidae. The record is from RNAcentral.